UCACCAUCUCCUACAUGAUAAUAAUAACAAAAAAAGAAAAAAUUAAAUUGCAAGCCAACAUAAAUAUAUUUAUGUUAGUCAGACUUCUAUGUAAAAAUCUGAUGAUAGAAAUUACAUUCUUAUUAUGAACUUCUGAUGUUUUGCAGGAAUUCAAAAGAUAUACUAAUAAGGAAAGCCAAUAUUUCAUCUUGAUAUGAGAUAAAAACAGACAAUAAACAUUAAUCCAUAGCAUAAGACAACCUAAAUUUUUAGUUUUCAUCCACUCCCACCUAUCAAUCUCGUCAAAUUAACACUCUUAACAAAGGAUCCAACAACAUGAUAAACUCAUGCACAGUUAAUACUAAUUUCAAAAUUUACAAGUCCACCAAUUUCUCCUCAUGAUAUGAAUUGCAAGUAAAUUAAGACUCAUCUUUCCUUUCAGCAAAUGGCAGCAAACAAGAUCAUCCAAGCAAGUCAACCAAUGGUUGCACUCUCAGAAUCAAAAUCCACCUUACAGGAAACUAAAGAAAGGAUCAAGGUUGACAUCAUAUUGACAAUCCUUAUCAAGCUAGACCUCUACAGGUUUGAUGGAAACCAAGCUUGGUUGAAAGGCCACAUUAAAUUGCUUGCCACCCAAAUCAAUCCACGUACGUCUUUCAAGGUCCUCAUGUAAUGCAGUUUAGCUGCUCCAAAAUUCCUCCAUUAUUUCAUCAUGCAAGACUGGUUUUGUUCUU
This 713-nucleotide unclassified non-coding RNA is filed under the name Hevea brasiliensis (rubber tree). Lineage: Eukaryota; Viridiplantae; Streptophyta; Magnoliopsida; Malpighiales; Euphorbiaceae. The record is from RNAcentral.